RNAcentral lists this ribosomal RNA (400 nucleotides) under uncultured bacterium. Its description in RNAcentral is "bacterial SSU rRNA". It matches the Rfam family "Bacterial small subunit ribosomal RNA", at positions 355 to 752 of the family's 1533-position model. The record is from RNAcentral.
UGAGGAAUAUUGGUCAAUGGGCGAAAGCCUGAACCAGCCAUGCCGCGUGCGGGAAGAAGGCGCUACGCGUCGUAAACCGCUUUUGUCCGGGGGUAACCGUGGGGACGCGUCCCCACCUGCAAGUACCGGACGAAUAAGGGUCGGCUAACUCCGUGCCAGCAGCCGCGGUAAUACGGAGGACCCGAGCGUUAUCCGGAUUCAUUGGGUUUAAAGGGUGCGCAGGCGGCCUGGUCAGUCAGCGGUGAAAUGCCCGCGCUUCACGCGGGAGCUGCCGUUGAUACUGCCGGGCUCGAGUUUUAGCGAGGCGGGCGGAAUGCGCGGUGUAGCGGUGAAAUGCAUAGAUAUCGCGCAGAACGCCGAUUGGGGAGCCAGCUCGCCAGCUGACAACUGACGCUGAGGC